UGAUUGAUUAAAAAUAAAUAAUAUAAUUAAUCUUUUCUGGAAGAGCCAACUUCUGAAAGAGCAAGAAUCUGCAGCAUAUCGACAUCUAGAAGAUUCAUUUAUUGAUUGAUGAUACACAAAUGGCUAUUAUACAGAUUGCAUUGAGUUCGAGUGAGUCAACUGACAGUGAUUCCGAAGUUAAUUAUUUAUUGCAUUGCCAAAGUUAUUAAACCAACAAGUGCUUUUAUUGAGUGGUUACGCCACCCUGAACGCAGGAGAAUUGGAUGGUUUUUUAGCAAUUUUUUUUUACAAAAAUAUUUGAGAUAUUGAAAACACAAAUCUUCUUCUGCUUACGCGGUUAUAACCGAGUCGACAACAGCGUGCCACGCAUCUCUACUUUUGUUAUUAGGCGUCAAUUGGUAAUACCAAGUGAAGACAGGUCCUUCUCCACCUGGUCGUUCCAUCGGAGUGCAGGUCUCCCUCUUCCUCGGCUUCCACCAGCGGGUACCGCAUCGAAAACUUUCAGAGCUGAGGCACUUUCGUCCAUUCGAACAA
Zeugodacus cucurbitae (melon fly) is the source of this 534-nucleotide long non-coding RNA. RefSeq lists it as uncharacterized. NCBI's taxonomy places the organism in Eukaryota, Metazoa, Arthropoda, Insecta, Diptera, Tephritidae. The transcript is spliced from 3 exons. The record is from RefSeq and is a predicted model, not a curated record.